This 484-nucleotide ribosomal RNA is filed under the name uncultured bacterium. RNAcentral's name for it is "partial 16S ribosomal RNA". It matches the Rfam family "Bacterial small subunit ribosomal RNA", at positions 28 to 507 of the family's 1533-position model. The record is from RNAcentral.
AUUGAACGCUGGCGGCAUGCUUUACACAUGCAAGUCGAACGGCAGCGCGGGCUUCGGCCUGGCGGCGAGUGGCGAACGGGUGAGUAAUGCAUCGGAACGUGCCCAGUAGUGGGGGAUAGCCCGGCGAAAGCCGGAUUAAUACCGCAUACGACCUGAGGGUGAAAGCGGGGGACCGAAGGGCCUCGCGCUAUUGGAGCGGCCGAUGUCGGAUGAGCUAGUUGGUGGGGUAAAGGCUUACCAAGGCGACGAUCCGUAGCUGGUCUGAGAGGACGACCAGCCACACUGGGACUGAGGCACGGCCCAGACUCCGACGGGAGGCAGCAGUGGGGAAUUUUGGACAAUGGGGGCAACCCUGAUCCAGCAAUGCCGCGGGCGGGAAGAAGGCCUUCGGGUUGGAAACCGCUUUUGUUCGGGAAGAAAUCCUCUGGGCUAAUACCCCGGGGGGAUGACGGUACCGGAAGAAUAAGCACCGGCUAACUACGUG